This 427-nucleotide ribosomal RNA is filed under the name uncultured bacterium. RNAcentral describes it as "bacterial SSU rRNA". It matches the Rfam family "Bacterial small subunit ribosomal RNA", at positions 355 to 774 of the family's 1533-position model. The record is from RNAcentral.
UGGGGAAUAUUGGACAAUGGGCGCAAGCCUGAUCCAGCCAUGCCGCGUGGGUGAAGAAGGCCUUCGGGUUGUAAAGCCCUUUUGUCCGGAAAGAAAUCCUGUCGGUUAAUACCCGGCGGGGAUGACGGUACCGGAAGAAUAAGCACCGGCUAACUUCGUGCCAGCAGCCGCGGUAAUACGAAGGGUGCAAGCGUUACUCGGAAUUACUGGGCGUAAAGCGUGCGUAGGCGGUUCGUUAAGUCCGAUGUGAAAGCCCUGGGCUCAACCUGGGAACUGCAUUGGAUACUGGCGAGCUAGAGUGCGGUAGAGGACGGUGGAAUUCCCGGUGUGGCGGUGAAAUGCGUAGAGAUCGGGAGGAACACCAGUGGCGAAGGCGGCCAUCUGGACCAGCACUGACGCUGAGGCACGAAAGCGUGGGGAGCAAACA